GCGCCGAUGUGUUGUCGAGCGAAGUGGUAGGACACGAGCUUCCCAAGCUCGGAGCCCGGGUUCAAUUCCCGGUCGGCGCA
This 80-nucleotide transfer RNA is filed under the name Haloferax volcanii. RNAcentral's name for it is "tRNA-Gly". It matches the Rfam family "tRNA". Rfam says of the family: Transfer RNA (tRNA) molecules are approximately 80 nucleotides in length. Their secondary structure includes four short double-helical elements and three loops (D, anti-codon, and T loops). Lineage: Archaea; Methanobacteriati; Methanobacteriota; Halobacteria; Halobacteriales; Haloferacaceae. The record is from RNAcentral.